RNAcentral lists this ribosomal RNA (424 nucleotides) under uncultured bacterium. RNAcentral describes it as "bacterial SSU rRNA". It matches the Rfam family "Bacterial small subunit ribosomal RNA", at positions 358 to 773 of the family's 1533-position model. The record is from RNAcentral.
GGAAUUGUUCGCAAUGGGCGCAAGCCUGACGACGCAACGCCGCGUGGAGGAUGAAGAUUUUCGGAUCGUAAACUCCUGUCGAAUGGGACGAAUAGGUAGCGGGUGAACAGCCCGCAACCCUGACGGUACCGUUAAAGGAAACCCCGGCUAACUCCGUGCCAGCAGCCGCGGUAAUACGUAGGGGGCAAGCGUUGUCCGGAAUUAUUGGGCGUAAAGCGCGCGCAGGCGGUCUGUUAAGUCUUGUGUUUAAGCCCGGGGCUCAACCCCGGUUCGCAUGGGAAACUGGCAGUACUUGAGUGCAGGAGAGGAAAGUGGAAUUCCACGUGUAGCGGUGAAAUGCGUAGAGAUGUGGAGGAACACCAGUGGCGAAGGCGGCUUUCUGGACUGUAACUGACGCUGAGGCGCGAAAGCGUGGGGAGCAAAC